UUGCAUGUGGAAAUGUCUGCUCCACAUUCCUUUAGGAGCAGAAAUAUAUCCAUAACAUGCUACAUUAAAAUAGGGGGUCUCAGAGCUGCCAACCUUAUAGAAGAGGUUGCGUAGUAGUAUAUGUCUCCUACAUUA
Molecule: small nucleolar RNA, 135 nt
Filed under: Dasypus novemcinctus (nine-banded armadillo)
Lineage: Eukaryota; Metazoa; Chordata; Mammalia; Cingulata; Dasypodidae
Description: Small nucleolar RNA U109 (ENSDNOG00000044881.1)
Rfam family: Small nucleolar RNA U109
Source: RNAcentral